This 69-nucleotide transfer RNA is filed under the name Curculionidae sp. 7 AH-2016. Its description in RNAcentral is "tRNA-Gln". Lineage: Eukaryota; Metazoa; Arthropoda; Insecta; Coleoptera; Curculionidae. The record is from RNAcentral.
UAUGUUUUAGUAUAAGAUGUAUAAAAGUUUUUGAUACUUUAGGAAGUAGUUUAAAUCUACUAAACAUAG